CGGCCCGAUUAGGUAGACGGUGGGGGAACGGCCACCGUGCCAGUAAUCGGUACGGGUUGUGAAAGCAAGAGCCCGGAGACGGUAUCUGAGACAAGAUACCGGGCCCUACGGGGCGCAGCAGGCGCGAAACCUUUACACUGCACGCCAGUGCGAUAAGGGGACUCCAAGUGCGAGGGCAUAUCGUCCUCGCUUUUCACCACCGUAAGGAGGUGGUAGAAUAAGUGCUGGGCAAGACCGGUGCCAGCCGCCGCGGUAAUACCGGCAGCACGAGUGAUGACCGCUAUUAUUGGGCCUAAAGCGUCCGUAGCUGGCCGUCCAAGUCCAUCGGGAAAUCCGCGCGCUUAACGCGCGGGCGUCCGGUGGAAACUGGAUGGCUCGGGACCGGAAGACCUAGGGGGUACGUCUGGGGUAGGAGUGAAAUCCCGUAAUCCUGGACGGACCACCGGUGGCGAAAGCGCCCUAGGAGGACGGAUCCGACGGUGAGGGACGAAAGCUCGGGUCACGAACCGGAUUAGAUACCCGGGUAGUCCGAGCUGUAAACGAUGUCUGCUAGGUGUGUCACAGGCUACGAGCCUGUGAUGUGCCGUAGGGAAGCCGUGAAGCAGACCGCCUGGGAAGUACGUCCGCAAGGAUGAAAUUCAA
RNAcentral lists this ribosomal RNA (642 nucleotides) under uncultured haloarchaeon. RNAcentral describes it as "bacterial SSU rRNA". It matches the Rfam family "Archaeal small subunit ribosomal RNA", at positions 217 to 859 of the family's 1478-position model. The record is from RNAcentral. Lineage: Archaea; Methanobacteriati; Methanobacteriota; Halobacteria; Halobacteriales; Halobacteriaceae.